AUUGAUUUAUAAUCGAGGAAUAAAGUAUUCCAAUUUCAAAAAUGAAACUGUCAAACAUUUUCUUUUUCGUCUUCAUGGCGUUUUUCGCAGUGGCCAGUGUCUCUGCUGCGCCUAGGUGGAAGCCGUUCAAGAAAUUGGAAAAGGUUGGGCGAAACAUCCGUGACGGCAUUAUCAAGGCGGG
Non-coding RNA from Plutella xylostella (diamondback moth), 181 nucleotides. The record is from RefSeq and is a predicted model, not a curated record. NCBI's taxonomy places the organism in Eukaryota, Metazoa, Arthropoda, Insecta, Lepidoptera, Plutellidae.